AUAUAAAGAAAAGACGAACAGCUCAGUAACUCUUAUUUUAUUUGAUGUAUUAGGAUUAUAACUAUGUUAAAUUAUAGAUAACAAUAAUACAAUAAGAAUAAGAUCUAUCAGUUAGUUGUUAAGGUAAUGGCUUAACAAGACUAUGACGGAUAACGGUAUUACUUUGUAAUAUUCCGGAGAAGGAGCCUGAGAGAUUGCUACUAAGUCUAAGGAUUGCAGCAGGGGCGAAACUUGACCUAUGAUAUGAUAUUGAGGCAGUUAUGAGUAGUAUUUUUAAUUAUUGUAGUAUUGUAAGUAUAUACUACAAGAUAAAUCGGAGGGCAAAUCGAGUGCCAGCAGCCGCGGUAAUACUUGUUCCGAUAGUGUGUAUGAUGAUUGAUGCAGUUAAAAAGUCUGUAGUUUAUUAUUAAUAAGCAUUGUGAGGUAUAUUGUAUGGUUAGGAGAGAGAUGAAAUGUGAUAACCCUAACUGGAUGAACAGAAGCGAAAGCUAUAUACUUAAAUGUUUUAUUAGAACAAGGACGUAAGCUAGAGGAUCGAAGAUGAUUAGAUACCAUUGUAGUUCUAGCAGUAAACUAUGUUAAAUCAUAGAUACAUUAUUAAUAUGUAUUUAUGUAAAGAAAUUAAGAUUAUAUUGACUCUGGGGAUAGUAUGAUCGCAAGAUUGAAAAUUAAAGAAAUUGACGGAAGA
RNAcentral lists this ribosomal RNA (688 nucleotides) under Nosema granulosis. Its description in RNAcentral is "partial small subunit ribosomal RNA". It matches the Rfam family "Microsporidia small subunit ribosomal RNA", at positions 64 to 797 of the family's 1311-position model. The record is from RNAcentral. Lineage: Eukaryota; Fungi; Microsporidia; Nosematidae.